RNAcentral lists this ribosomal RNA (403 nucleotides) under uncultured bacterium. RNAcentral describes it as "partial 16S ribosomal RNA". It matches the Rfam family "Bacterial small subunit ribosomal RNA", at positions 28 to 526 of the family's 1533-position model. The record is from RNAcentral.
GACGAACGCUGGCGGCGUGCCUAAUACAUGCAAGUCGAACGCAGUGGGGACGGGUGAGUAACACGUGGGUAACCUCCCAUCAGAGGGGAUAACACUUGGAAACAGGUGCUACACCGAAAAUGAUGGAUGGACCCGCGGUGCAUGAGCUAGUUGGUGAGGUAACGGCUCACCAAGGCAACGAUGCCUAGCCGACCUGAGAGGGGGAUCGGCGACACGGGAACUGAGACACGGCCCAGACUCCUACGGGAGGCAGCAGUAGGUAAUCUGCGGGAAUGGGCGAAAGUCUGACCGAGCAACGCCGCGUGAGUGAAGCGGGUUUUCGGAUCGUAAAGCUCUGUUGUUAGAGAAGCGGUAUCUAACCAGAAAGCCACGGCUAACUACGUGCCAGCAGCCGCGGUAAUUC